GACGAACGCUGGCGGCGUGCUUAACACAUGCAAGUCGAACGCUGAAGCUCAGCUUUUGUUGGGUGGAUGAGUGGCGAACGGGUGAGUAACACGUGAGUACCUGCCCCCUUCUUUGGGAUAACGCCCGGAAACGGGUGCUAAUACUGGAUAUUCACUGGUCUUCGCAUGGGGGUUGGUGGAAAGGGUUUUUCUGGUGGGGGAUGGGCUCGCGGCCUAUCAGCUUGUUGGUGGGGUGAUGGCCUACCAAGGCUUUGACGGGUAGCCGGCCUGAGAGGGUGACCGGUCACAUUGGGACUGAGAUACGGCCCAGACUCCUACGGGAGGCAGCAGUGGGGAAUAUUGCACAAUGGGCGCAAGCCUGAUGCAGCGACGCCGCGUGAGGGAUGGAGGCCUUCGGGUUGUGAACCUCUUUCGCUCAUGGUCAAGCCGCAACAAUGGUUGUGGUGAGGGUAGUGGGUAAAGAAGCGCCGGCUAACUACGUG
Molecule: ribosomal RNA, 482 nt
Filed under: uncultured bacterium
Lineage: Bacteria
Description: partial 16S ribosomal RNA
Rfam family: Bacterial small subunit ribosomal RNA
Source: RNAcentral